UACGUAGGGUCCGAGCGUUGUCCGGAAUUAUUGGGCGUAAAGAGCUCGUAGGCGGUCUGUUGCGUCGGCUGUGAAAACCCGGGGCUCAACCCCGGGCCUGCAGCCGAUACGGGCAGACUAGAGUUCGGCAGGGGAGACUGGAAUUCCUGGUGUAGCGGUGAAAUGCGCAGAUAUCAGGAGGAACACCGGUGGCGAAGGCGGGUCUCUGGGCCGAUACUGACGCUGAGGAGCGAAAGCGUGGGGAGCAAACAGG
Molecule: ribosomal RNA, 253 nt
Filed under: uncultured bacterium
Lineage: Bacteria
Description: partial 16S ribosomal RNA
Rfam family: Bacterial small subunit ribosomal RNA
Source: RNAcentral